Molecule: small RNA, 19 nt
Filed under: Bombyx mori (domestic silkworm)
Lineage: Eukaryota; Metazoa; Arthropoda; Insecta; Lepidoptera; Bombycidae
Description: ovarian small RNA-5575
Source: RNAcentral
UAAAGAACUUACCUCGUCU